Molecule: transfer RNA, 69 nt
Filed under: Neotoma fuscipes (dusky-footed woodrat)
Lineage: Eukaryota; Metazoa; Chordata; Mammalia; Rodentia; Cricetidae
Description: tRNA-Phe
Rfam family: tRNA
About the family: Transfer RNA (tRNA) molecules are approximately 80 nucleotides in length. Their secondary structure includes four short double-helical elements and three loops (D, anti-codon, and T loops). Further hydrogen bonds mediate the characteristic L-shaped molecular structure. tRNAs have two regions of fundamental functional importance: the anti-codon, which is responsible for specific mRNA codon recognition, and the 3' end, to which the tRNAs corresponding amino acid is attached (by aminoacyl-tRNA synthetases). tRNAs cope with the degeneracy of the genetic code in two manners: having more than one tRNA (with a specific anti-codon) for a particular amino acid; and 'wobble' base-pairing, i.e. permitting non-standard base-pairing at the 3rd anti-codon position.
Source: RNAcentral
GCUUAUGUAGCUUAUCAAUCAAAGCAAAGCACUGAAAAUGCUUAGAUGGAUGUAUACAUCCCAUAAACA